This 273-nucleotide long non-coding RNA is filed under the name Carica papaya (papaya). RNAcentral's name for it is "long non-coding RNA (CPAP_LNC010677)". Lineage: Eukaryota; Viridiplantae; Streptophyta; Magnoliopsida; Brassicales; Caricaceae. The record is from RNAcentral.
GUAAGCAAGACACUUGUUGCUAGGAGGGCCCUAAAAAUAUGACAGUAAUGUCAGCCAUGCCGGUGAAAAAAUUCAGUAUUCUAUCCGAAUGGGUAACCGCAUCUAUGUUUUAACCUCUUUGCCAAGAAGGGACGAUUAUGAGGAUUAACUAAAAAUUAAAAAGUCAUACGAGGAGUUCGCUAAGAGACCGGUGAAAUAGGACCACAAUCAGGAUAUAGACCAAAGUUGCUUCUUUAUUUAAGAACAACUCGAGCACCUGGCUAGAUAUCUGGU